Molecule: long non-coding RNA, 641 nt
Filed under: Lactuca sativa (garden lettuce)
Lineage: Eukaryota; Viridiplantae; Streptophyta; Magnoliopsida; Asterales; Asteraceae
Description: long non-coding RNA (LSAT_LNC006481)
Source: RNAcentral
AGGAAGUCAUCUUCAUUAGGAAAUCUUGUUCCAAGGGAUUUCGGAAUGAUCAUAGAUGUCUAAACCAGACAUCUAAUGGGAGAAAUUCAAGUUUGUUGAUUUAAGUCCUUAAUAUAACACCCAAUAUGAAAUAUUAAGGCUAGGACCCAACACAAUAUUUUAUAACUUGGAAGAGGGAUGCUGUAAUCCAAGCUAUAAAAUAUUUGAAGGUAGGCGAAUGACGAUUCACCAAUUUCCACCAUGAAAAACGAAAUAAAUUAUUAGGUUUUAAUUGGAUUUGAAACUCCUAGAUCUUUUGAGAUUCAUUGAACUUUUCAAUGGCAUGUUUCAAUCUCGAUUGUGCCCUCUCAAGUUUUGUGACUGGGAUGUCGAGGAUCACAAAACAAGGUGUGAAUAACCAUGCAAAUAUACUUGGUACCCUUAAUAUUUAUCCUNCCCAACACAAUAUUUUAUAACUUGGAAGAGGGAUGUUGUAAUCCAAGCUAUAAAAUAUUUGAAGGUAGGCGAAUGACGAUUCACCAAUUUCCACCAUGAAAAAUGAAAUAAUUUAUUAGGUUUUAAUUGGAUUUGAAAUUCCUAGAUCUUUUGAGAUUCAUUGAACUUUUCAAUGGCAUGUUUCAAUCUCGAUUGUGCCCUCUCAA